Molecule: ribosomal RNA, 320 nt
Filed under: uncultured eukaryote
Lineage: Eukaryota
Description: partial 18S ribosomal RNA
Rfam family: Eukaryotic small subunit ribosomal RNA
Source: RNAcentral
CCCCUAGAUGUUCUGGGCCGCACGCGCGCUACACUGAACAGUUCAACAAGUCUUAACCUUGGCCGAUAGGUCUGGGUAAUCUUUGAACGGUGUUCGUGAUUGGGAUAGACCUUUGCAAUUAUGGGUCUUCAACGAGGAAUUCCUAGUAAACGCAAGUCAUCAGCUUGCAUUGAUUACGUCCCUGCCCUUUGUACACACCGCCCGUCGCACCUACCGAUUGAAUGGUCCGGUGAAAUCUCGGGACGGCGGCUUGGUCGCUUGCGUCCGACUGCUGAAACUUGAUUAAACCAUAUCAUUUAGAGGAAGGUGAAGUCGUAACA